CCUACGGGAGGCAGCAGUGAGGAAUAUUGGUCAAUGGUCGGGAGCCUGAACCAGCCAAGCCGCGUGAAGGAGGACGGCACUGAGGGUUGUAAACUUCUUUUGUCAGGGAAUAAAGCUUGGCACGUGUCCACGGCUGAGUGUACUCUAAGAAUAAGCAUCGGCUAACUCCGUGCCAGCAGCCGCGGUAAUACGGAGGAUCCGAGCGUUAUCCGGAUUUAUUGGGUUUAAAGGGAUCGCAGGCGGGUCGUUAAGUUAGCUGUGAAAGGCCCGGGCUCAACCCUGGACCCGCAUUUGAAACUGGCAGCCUAGAGUGCAGGUGAGGUAGGCGGAAUGCGGGGUGUAGCGGUGAAAUGCAUAGAUAUCACGAAGAACUCCGAUUGCGAAGGCAGCUUGCCGGC
Molecule: ribosomal RNA, 398 nt
Filed under: uncultured bacterium
Lineage: Bacteria
Description: partial 16S ribosomal RNA
Rfam family: Bacterial small subunit ribosomal RNA
Source: RNAcentral